RNAcentral lists this long non-coding RNA (794 nucleotides) under Citrus maxima (pomelo). Its description in RNAcentral is "long non-coding RNA (CMAX_LNC003091)". The record is from RNAcentral. Lineage: Eukaryota; Viridiplantae; Streptophyta; Magnoliopsida; Sapindales; Rutaceae.
CGAAUUGAAUUCGGAUUCGUUUAUUAUUCGUUUAUCCUUAACGAAUCGAAUCAGGAUUCGUUACAAUUCGUUUAGAAAAAUAUAAUUAAUAAACAAAGUUAAGUAAAAUAAAAUAUAUAAAAAUUACAAAUUUAACAUCCCAGAAUAAAACACAAAUAACUCAAAUCAUAUUAUGCAGCCAUCCAAAUACUAAAUUAUAAAUCUCUAAUAAUACAAAUAACAAUAAUUCAAAUUCAAAUUAUAAAAUAAGGUAAUUUCUUUAAUUCUCUUCAUUUGUCUUUUUCACCUUGAAAAUAAAAAUCCUACACCAAAAAUAAAUAAAAUGUUAUUAACAUAUAUAAAUGAAAUAAUUCAAAUUAAUUGAAGAAUAAAAGAUCAUAUAUAUUUAUAUAUAUAUAUAUAUAUAUAUAUAGUUAUUUUUUAAAAUUUUUAACAAUGACAUAAUUGAAGAAUAUGAGCAAAAAAUAAAAAAGCUAACAGCUUAGCACUAAUGGACUCUUUGAAAUCGUCUUGAUGGAAAAAGCUAAAAGCAUACAUAGUUUACAACAUAUCUUUCGAAAUGAAAAAGCUAGCACUUGGAUGCAAAAAUAAUAAAAAAGGGAAAAAGAAGUGGAGCUUACUUUGGUGGUGACUGCUGCUGGUUAAGUGACGUUGAUAAACUGUGAAAUCAACCCUGAAUUGCUAAGAGAUGAAGGGAAAGAGAUGAAGGUAAAGAGAUGUGAAAUGUAAGAAUUAAGAUUAGGGCCGGCUGCUUUGAUUGCUUUGACUUUGCUUUAGCUUAAAAUUACAAUAUU